Molecule: non-coding RNA, 71 nt
Organism: Gongylonema pulchrum
Lineage: Eukaryota; Metazoa; Nematoda; Chromadorea; Rhabditida; Gongylonematidae
Source: Rfam
GGACCGGUGGUGUGGGGGUAACGCAUUGCGUCCGGAAGUGAAGGGGAGUGGUUCGAUUCCCUUCCGGUCCA